This is a long non-coding RNA of Neogale vison (American mink), 161 nucleotides long. RefSeq lists it as uncharacterized. NCBI's taxonomy places the organism in Eukaryota, Metazoa, Chordata, Mammalia, Carnivora, Mustelidae. The record is from RefSeq and is a predicted model, not a curated record. The transcript has 3 exons.
GCAACCAGCUCCGCAUCAUCUCCAGCGUGAAGGCCUCGCUGGCGAGAAGCAGGUCCUCUGAAGAGCUCCUGCUGGAAAAUGCGGAGCAGCUCCUGCGGGCUGUCUCCAAGACCGUGAGGACCACGGAAGCUGCGAGUCUCCGGGGCUUGAGACCACCUUCC